Molecule: ribosomal RNA, 442 nt
Filed under: uncultured Alphaproteobacteria bacterium
Lineage: Bacteria; Pseudomonadati; Pseudomonadota; Alphaproteobacteria
Description: bacterial SSU rRNA
Rfam family: Bacterial small subunit ribosomal RNA
Source: RNAcentral
AGAGUUUGAUCCUGGCUCAGAACGAACGCUGGCGGCAUGCCUAACACAUGCAAGUCGAACGAUCUCUUCGGAGAUAGUGGCGCACGGGUGCGUAACGCGUGGGAAUCUGCCCAAGGGUCCAGGAUAACAGUUAGAAAUGACUGCUAAUACUGGAUAAUGUCUUCGGACCAAAGAUUUAUUGCCCUUGGAUGAGCCCGCGUUGGAUUAGCUAGUUGGUGGGGUAAAGGCCUACCAAGGCGACGAUCCAUAGCUGGUCUGAGAGGAUGAUCAGCCACACUGGGACUGAGACACGGCCCAGACUCCUACGGGAGGCAGCAGUGGGGAAUAUUGGACAAUGGGCGAAAGCCUGAUCCAGCAAUGCCGCGUGAGUGAUGAAGGCCUUAGGGUUGUAAAGCUCUUUUACCAGGGAUGAUAAUGACAAGACCUGGAGAAUAAGUCCGGC